GCUGCUUUUCCUUUGUCUGAGGUACACCUGACCAGGUUUAGGGCGGAUGCAGUCCCUCCAAGGAGCUGUCCCUGAUACUCCAGUGCCAAGAUGAAAUAGAGCAGAAAGCAAGGAUUGGAGGGCGUGCUUGGCUUUGGAAUGUGUCAUUCAAACGGAAGAGGAACAGAUCCAGAGGGUUGGUGAUGUGGAAAUUCCCAGACCAGGAAUCAAGCAUAGGGCUAUAUACAUAUUUGACUGUUUGACUGAUGGAUGUGGACAAAGUCUGAGAUUUGGGAAACCUACUGCUCAUCAGUCAUGAAGCAGGGCCUGAAGGUGACAGCUACAUAUCCCCAGCCACAGUUUGUGCAAAAACAACAUUUUAUUUCAAAGCACAGUUGAAAGCGUCUCCUUUGCUUUGAGAGUGUUAAUUAUUUCUGAAGUGUAAGAAAGUGCAUUCA
Non-coding RNA from Ictidomys tridecemlineatus (thirteen-lined ground squirrel), 437 nucleotides. The record is from RefSeq and is a predicted model, not a curated record. Lineage: Eukaryota; Metazoa; Chordata; Mammalia; Rodentia; Sciuridae.